GGACGAACGCUGGCGGCGUGCUUAACACAUGCAAGUCGAACGGAAAGGCCCUGCUUGCAGGGUACUCGAGUGGCGAACGGGUGAGUAACACGUGGGUGAUCUGCCCUGCACUUCGGGAUAAGCCUGGGAAACUGGGUCUAAUACCGGAUAGGAGCCAUUUUUAGUGUGAUGGUUGGAAAGUUUUUUCGGUGUAGGAUGAGCUCGCGGCCUAUCAGCUUGUUGGUGGGGUAAUGGCCUACCAAGGCGGCGACGGGUAGCCGGCCUGAGAGGGUGGACGGCCACAUUGGGACUGAGAUACGGCCCAGACUCCUACGGGAGGCAGCAGUGGGGAAUAUUGCACAAGGGGCGCAAGCCUGAUGCAGCGACGCCGCGUGGGGGAUGACGGCCUUCGGGUUGUAAACUCCUUUCGCUAGGGACGAAGCUUUUUGUGACGGUACCUAGAUAAGAAGCACCGGCUAACUACGUG
Molecule: ribosomal RNA, 466 nt
Filed under: uncultured bacterium
Lineage: Bacteria
Description: partial 16S ribosomal RNA
Rfam family: Bacterial small subunit ribosomal RNA
Source: RNAcentral